UCUACGGGAGGCAGCAGUGAGGAAUAUUGGUCAAUGGGCGCGAGCCUGAACCAGCCAAGCAGCGUGAAGGAUGACUGCCCUACGGGUUGUAAACUUCUUUUAUAAAGGAAUAAAGUGAGGCACGUGUGCCUUUUUGUAUGUACUUUAUGCAUAAGGAUCGGCUAACUCCGUGCCAGCAGCCGCGGUAAUACGGAGGAUCCGAGCGUUAUCCGGAUUUAUUGGGUUUAAAGGGAGCGUAGAUGGGUUGUUAAGUCAGUUGUGAAAGUUUGUGGCUCAACCGAAGAAUUGCAAUUGAUACUGGCAGCCUUGAGUACAGUUGAGGUAGGCGGAAUUCGUGGUGUAGCGGUGAAAUGCUUAGAUAUCACGAAGAACUCCGAUUGCGAAGGCAGCCUACUAGACUGCCACUGACGUUGAGGCUCGAAAGUGUGGGUAUCAAACAGGAUUAGAUACCCGAGUAGUC
RNAcentral lists this ribosomal RNA (460 nucleotides) under uncultured bacterium. RNAcentral's name for it is "partial 16S ribosomal RNA". It matches the Rfam family "Bacterial small subunit ribosomal RNA", at positions 338 to 795 of the family's 1533-position model. The record is from RNAcentral.